Molecule: long non-coding RNA, 695 nt
Filed under: Pan troglodytes (chimpanzee)
Lineage: Eukaryota; Metazoa; Chordata; Mammalia; Primates; Hominidae
Description: lncRNA (ENSPTRG00000054554.1)
Source: RNAcentral
CUUUUGAGCAGGUAACUCUUCUAUUGGGGCCAUAACUGAGGCAUAUUUUAAAUCAGAAAGGGAGAAUAUCGUUUUUAUUCUGAAUCUGAAUACUCCUUAAAAAUAAUAAUUCUUGGAUGGUAUUUUUGUAUUUAAUUCAUUUCAGUCUUUCCUGUGUGUUUAUUUUGUGUUCAGCCCUGCAUAGGUGAUAAAUUUGUAACCAUACCCCCUCUCUAGCCCAUCCCUCUUUAAUACCACCCUAGGACAAGACCAUGAAUAGUCCUGCCUUUCCUGGCCCCUCCAAUUCCUCCUUUCCCUGAGGUACAUACAGGCAUUGUGCAUACAGAAGUUACCUGUGUUUGUAAUUCACAAACCCCAAAGAGCAGUGAAGAAAAAAGGAAUGAAUCCUACAUGAUUACAAAGAAGGAGGGGACAAAGCUGGCUCCAGGUACUCAGUUAUUUCUGAGUAUUGCUCUGUGCCUGGCACUGUGCUGUACAUUGAGGAUAUGAAGAUGAGUAAGUCUCAGUCUAUAUCUUUAGAGACCUCACAGCCUGGAAGGAGAGUUAAAAAAUAAUUGCUAUUCAACAUGGCAAUGGUUAUAAAGGAGCAGAUUUUCCAAACUGGUGUUUCAAGGAACAUUCUUUGGCAGGAUGUUAAGUAAGUGUACCACGAAAAAGAAGUAUUUUGAGUUAAAAUAACUUUAGGAAAUGCUGGG